RNAcentral lists this ribosomal RNA (1400 nucleotides) under uncultured bacterium. RNAcentral describes it as "16S ribosomal RNA". It matches the Rfam family "Bacterial small subunit ribosomal RNA". The record is from RNAcentral.
UUCGCCCUUAGAGUUUGAUCCUGGCUCAGGACGAACGCUGGCGGCGUGCUUAACACAUGCAAGUCGAACGAAGCUUGAUUUAUGAUUUCUUCGGAAUGAAUAAUGAUAUGACUGAGUGGCGGACGGGUGAGUAACGCGUGAGCAACCUGCCCUUCGGAGGGGGAUAGCGUCUGGAAACGGACGGUAAUACCGCAUAAAGUGUCUUGACCGCAUGAUCGAGAUACCAAAACUGAGGUGCCGAAGGAUGGGCUCGCGUUGGAUUAGAUAGUUGGUGGGGUAACGGCCUACCAAGUCGACGAUCCAUAGCCGGACUGAGAGGUUGAUCGGCCACAUUGGGACUGAGACACGGCCCAGACUCCUACGGGAGGCAGCAGUGGGGAAUAUUGCACAAUGGGGGAAACCCUGAUGCAGCAACGCCGCGUGAAGGAAGACGGUUUUCGGAUUGUAAACUUCUGUUCUUAGUGAAGAAUAAUGACGGUAGCUAAGGAGCAAGCCACGGCUAACUACGUGCCAGCAGCCGCGGUAAUACAUAGGUGGCAAGCGUUGUCCGGAAUUACUGGGUGUAAAGGGAGCGCAGGCGGGAAGCCAAGUCAGCUGUGAAAACUACAGGCUUAACUUGUAGACUGCAGUUGAAACUGGUUUUCUUGAGUGAAGUAGAGGUUGGCGGAAUUCCGAGUGUAGCGGUGAAAUGCGUAGAUAUUCGGAGGAACACCGGUGGCGAAGGCGGCCAACUGGGCUUUAACUGACGCUGAGGCUCGAAAGUGUGGGGAGCAAACAGAAGGAGAUACCCUGGUAGUCCACACUGUAAACGAUGAUUGCUAGGUGUGGGGGGGUCUGACCCCUUCCGUGCCGCAGAUAACGCAAUAAGCAAUCCACCUGGGGAGUACGACCGCAAGGUUGAAACUCAAAGGAAUUGACGGGGACCCGCACAAGCAGUGGAUUAUGUGGUUUAAUUCGAAGCAACGCGAAGAACCUUACCAGCACUUGACAUCCAACUAACGAAAUAGAGAUAUAUAAGGUGCCUUUCGGGGAAAGUUGAGACAGGUGGUGCAUGGUUGUCGUCAGCUCGUGUCGUGAGAUGUUGGGUUAAGUCCCGCAACGAGCGCAACCCCUGCCAUUAGUUGCUACGCAAGAGCACUCUAAUGGGACCGCUACCGACAAGGUGGAGGAAGGUGGGGAUGACGUCGAAUCAUCAUGCCCCUUAUGUGCUGGGCUACACACGUAAUACAAUGGCCGUUAACAAAGGGAAGCAAUCCCGCGAGGAGGAGCAAAACCCAAAAAACGGUCUCAGUUCGGACUGCAGGCUGCAACCCGCCUGCACGAAGUUGGAAUUGCUAGUAAUCGCGGAUCAGCAUGCCGCGGUGAAUACGUUAGCCGGGUCUUGUACUCACCGCCCGUCA